CCUACGGGUGGCAGCAGUGGGGGAUAUUGCACAAUGGGGGAAACCCUGAUGCAGCGACGCCGCGUGGGUGAAGAAGCGCCUCGGCGCGUAAAGCCCUGUCAGCAGGGAAGAAAAUGACGGUACCUGAAGAAGAAGCCCCGGCUAACUACGUGCCAGCAGCCGCGGGAAUACGUAGGGGGCAAGCGUUAUCCGGAUUUACUGGGUGUAAAGGGGGCGCAGACGGCGAUGCAAGCCAGGAGUGAAAGCCCGGGGCCCAACCCCGGGACUGCUCUUGGAACUGCGUGGCUAGAGUGCAGGAGGGGCAGGCGGAAUUCCUGGUGUAGCGGUGAAAUGCGUAGAUAGCAGGAGGAACACCAGUGGCGAAGGCGGCCUGCUGGACAUUAACUGACGCUGAGGCGCGAAAGCGUGGGGAGCAAACAGGAUUAGAUACCCCAGUAGUC
Molecule: ribosomal RNA, 440 nt
Filed under: uncultured bacterium
Lineage: Bacteria
Description: partial 16S ribosomal RNA
Rfam family: Bacterial small subunit ribosomal RNA
Source: RNAcentral